Molecule: long non-coding RNA, 660 nt
Organism: Heterocephalus glaber (naked mole-rat)
Lineage: Eukaryota; Metazoa; Chordata; Mammalia; Rodentia; Bathyergidae
Source: Ensembl
UGACAAUGCCCUGGUGGAGUCAAAGCACCUACUAUGUGUGGGGUCUGAGCUGAAUUCUGGUGGCUGCAGGGAGAGUGAUACCUGAAGGCCUCGGCUUCCAAAUGACUCCAAAACUGCUGAGGGGAGGAGACAGGAGACCCUACAGUGAUAAUUCUGCUACCCAAGGAGGUGUGGAGCGAGACCAAGCAACUUAUCAGGUCACACAGCAAAGUCACUGGCAGUGAAGCAAGGAUGCCCCUUUCUGCCUGACCCUCCUGGCUUCCUGUUUCAACAUCUUUGGAGCUUGUGGAGACGUCUGUCCCACCUGGUGCUCUCCACACUGCCAACUGUGACCCCACCAGUGUCGCACAGCGAUGGGUCUGCCUGACUGGACUGGAACCGAGAGCCAAGAGCACUUGCCUAAAAAGUCAACAUGGGAAGGCCAAUAGAGAGUCUACCCAGGAACCUGCAGACAUCUGGGGCAAACACUCUAUCCCUGGUGGUAGCAGUGUGAUCACCUUCUGGUCGUCAUACUGGUGAGGAAGUUAAGGAGCUAUUCUGACUGCAUUUCACAGCAGCAGCUGGUCCCACACAGGAGGCACAGCCCUCCUUCCCUGGAGAAUGCCAGCUAAUGAUGCAGAAGGAGUCGGAUUAAGAAACCAGCAUUCAACUGCCCAGCAG